Molecule: long non-coding RNA, 751 nt
Organism: Aedes albopictus (Asian tiger mosquito)
Lineage: Eukaryota; Metazoa; Arthropoda; Insecta; Diptera; Culicidae
Exons: 2
Source: RefSeq, a predicted model, not a curated record
CAAUUGGUUAGUAGUGUUAAUAAGUGUUAGUACAAACAUAAAAAUUAAUGUGUGUUAAAAUUCAUAGAACAAAUAACAAUAACGAUCCACAACAACUGUUAAAAUAGUCACUAUGACUGGCUAAAAUCAAGAAAAAGGUCCACACCAGGGACCUUUUUCUUUUGUAUUAUUGUUCCAACAGUGACAGAUGAACAACGGUUGACAUUUCCGAAGAUUGGGUAGUGGAUGAGGUGGCUGUUCCGGAUUUCCGUUAUAAUCGUCUCCGGUUCGAACAACUUGUGAGAAGCGCACGUCGGAAGAACGCCAUUGUGAUCCACCCGCCUUGCUGAAGCACAUCCGCCAUCUUCCAUGUUCCGUCACCGUGAACCAAUCGCCAUUGUGUCCCAAAGCUUCUAUGGAAGUAGCUCAACCACCAACCAACUACCGUUCGGCGAUCCGUCGGCACGUGGGAAGUCAAGUGUCACGAACUGCCCCACCCUAGUUCGGUACCGUCGACAUCAUAUCAGCCAAAACGCUACCAAGAACCGAUUGCCCGAUACUCCGUCGGCAAUAGAGAUGCCUCGCCUUCUGGCCAACUACCAAGAAUUGGCCCACCCUAGUCCAGCAACCGUCGGGAAGAACCAAGCAAACCCGCUACCACCACUACCAACCGUCGCCAGGAUCCGGAUCCAGACUUCAAGUACCAAGCAUGCGAAAGAUAAGUACCCUUAAGUGACGUCACCCUUGUAAAUAAACCCUAUGUUAUUAGAUA